ACCAAUUUGGUCAAACCAAAGCCUAUAUGAGUCGGUGUCCCAAAUAUCAUGUUUGGCGACAACAUGGGAUUCGAUAUUCGAAUCGUAGUGACAUACAGUUCACUAGAUUGACUCAUGAAUUUCUCCAAGAUGCGCUUCAGUUCGCAUUCAUGAGGAGGUAUACACAAAAGAAUUCUUGUUCAUUCUCACAAUGUGUUUUCAAAUGAAAACCAUUAGCACGAAUGUCUUUAAAACUUAACAUGGUUCCUUAGAAUGUUGUGGAUAGUUCCACUAUCUGCGAAGCACUCAAUGUCUCUAUGAGACAUAUCUACAAGGAGUAGAUAGGCGAGUAAAUAGUUCCACUUGAACUAUUUAGAAGGAUUGAAAGAAGCUACGAAAAUCUGCAAUCCCGAGAGUGCAUAAAAAAUUUCCGCGUAGAAUGACCUUUGCGCACUAAAACAGCCAUAACUUCUUCGUUAAAAUAAAUAUGGACGAACCGUGAAAAGUUCUGAAAACUAGACUCAUAGAGCUUUCCAAUGAUAUAAAGCUCACUGUCUGGUUCGUCCGGAGCUGUUCACAAAGCUCAAACGAAGUUGACUGUCCAGAAGGGACAGAUUGCUGUUUUUCGCAGAUUUGGCAUGUGCGAAGCUGUGAAGCUUGCAGGUGGCGUGUAGGCUUUUGCCUUAGCCAAAAGUGACGUGUGUAUGAUCAAAACCAAGUCCUUUCGAUCGUUCUAAGGUCGUAAACUCCAUGACUAGUUAGCAAAAGCUCCCUGACAUGAACAUAAACUAACUCAGAGGACCUAGAGGAUCCGAUUAUGAUGAUAAUUUUCCAGCUUUGAUAAGUCUUCAACN
Molecule: long non-coding RNA, 833 nt
Filed under: Fragaria vesca (wild strawberry)
Lineage: Eukaryota; Viridiplantae; Streptophyta; Magnoliopsida; Rosales; Rosaceae
Description: long non-coding RNA (FVES_LNC002191)
Source: RNAcentral